This 216-nucleotide ribosomal RNA is filed under the name Glomeromycotina sp. RNAcentral's name for it is "partial small subunit ribosomal RNA". The stretch from base 40 to 216 matches the Rfam family "Eukaryotic small subunit ribosomal RNA", at positions 686 to 864 of the family's 1831-position model. Lineage: Eukaryota; Fungi; Glomeromycota. The record is from RNAcentral.
GGGUCAGUAGGUUGGUCGUGCCACCGGUACGUACUGGUCUCACUGAUUCCUCCUUCCUGAAUAACUGUAAUGCCAUUAAUUUGGUGUUGCGGGGAAACAGGACUGUUACUUUGAAAAAAUUAGAGUGUUUAAAGCAAGCUAACGCUUGAAUACAUUAGCAUGGAAUAAUGAAAUAGGACGAUCGAUCCUAUUUUGUUGGUUUCUAGGAUUGACGUA